UGGGGAAUAUUGCACAAUGGGCGCAAGCCUGAUGCAGCGACGCCGCGUGCGGGAUGGAGGCCUGGUUGUAACCGCUUUGUUCAAGGGCAAGGCACGGUCUUUGGCCGUGUUGAGUGGAUUGUUCGAAUAAGCACCGGCUAACUACGUGCC
RNAcentral lists this ribosomal RNA (150 nucleotides) under uncultured bacterium. RNAcentral's name for it is "partial 16S ribosomal RNA". It matches the Rfam family "Bacterial small subunit ribosomal RNA", at positions 355 to 509 of the family's 1533-position model. The record is from RNAcentral.